UGAAGAGUAGCCAUCAUGGAUGAAGUCACCUGCUCAGCUCCAGUGAGUUGUACUUGUACUUUCAAAGCAAUACAAAGGUAUGGGUCUCUGAGGGAGAGAUUAUAGUUAGAAAAAAAUAUAAGUACUACACUUCCAGCAUAUAGGAUAGUCAAACACGCCCCUAUGAUAGCGUGUUCAUACUGUAAAAAGCGGGUGUCUAAUAAUGAGACUCGGGCAGUAAUUAGUAGUCCUUUUCUGCCGUGGAGGCUAAAUAUGAGUCUGAUUGCUCCAAAAUGUAGGUGAGGGUAUCCUUCCCGUUUCCAUUUAGGAAUUAAUGGAGGAAGAAUCUCCAAGGUGACAUACUGUUUAGCAGUGGAGCUUUAGAGAGAACAUUAAUCCAUUCUGGAGGCUUAG
Molecule: unclassified non-coding RNA, 393 nt
Filed under: Hevea brasiliensis (rubber tree)
Lineage: Eukaryota; Viridiplantae; Streptophyta; Magnoliopsida; Malpighiales; Euphorbiaceae
Source: RNAcentral